Molecule: ribosomal RNA, 254 nt
Filed under: uncultured bacterium
Lineage: Bacteria
Description: partial 16S ribosomal RNA
Rfam family: Bacterial small subunit ribosomal RNA
Source: RNAcentral
UACGGAGGGUGCGAGCGUUGUCCGGAAUCAUUGGGCGUAAAGGGCGCGUAGGUGGCGGGACAAGCGUGCGGUGAAAGCCUGGGGCUCAACCCCGGGUCGGCCGUGCGAACUGUUUUGCUUGAGGACUGUAGAGGCAGGCGGAAUUCCGGGUGUAGCGGUGGAAUGCGUAGAGAUCCGGAGGAACACCGGUGGCGAAGGCGACAUCCUGGACCAACACUGACGCUGAGUGAGCGAAAGCCAGGGGAGCAAACGGG